AUUGAACGCUGGCGGCAGGCCUAACACAUGCAAGUCGAGCGAGCGGCGGACGGGUGAGUAGUGUAUGGCGACUGCCCGAUUUAGGGGGCUAACUACUGGAAACGGUAGCUCAUCCCGCAUACUCGCGGAUAACCCCUAUGGGAUUAGCUAGUUGGUGAGGUAAUGGCUCCCCUAGGCGACGAUCCCUAACGGGUCUGAGAGGAUGACCAGCCAGACUGGAACGGAGAGACGGCCCAGACUCCUACGGAGGAAGCAGUGGUGAAUAUUGCACAAUGGGCGCAAGCCGGAUGCAGCCAGGACGCGUGUAUGAAGAAGGCCCUAGGGUUGUAAAGUACUUUCAGUCGGGAGGCGUUACCGACAGAAGAAGCACCGGCUAACUCCGCGCCAGCCGCCGCGGUAAUAC
Molecule: ribosomal RNA, 403 nt
Filed under: uncultured bacterium
Lineage: Bacteria
Description: partial 16S ribosomal RNA
Rfam family: Bacterial small subunit ribosomal RNA
Source: RNAcentral